This is a long non-coding RNA of Alosa sapidissima (American shad), 105 nucleotides long. RefSeq lists it as uncharacterized. The transcript has 3 exons. NCBI's taxonomy places the organism in Eukaryota, Metazoa, Chordata, Actinopteri, Clupeiformes, Clupeidae. The record is from RefSeq and is a predicted model, not a curated record.
AGUGUUUGAAAUAUAAUAUAUGUUCACGUAGUUUAAUCCAUCCCAUGUCUGUUCUCUACCGCUGAAGUUCACGGUUACGUCGAUGUACUCUACUACAGAGAUGAA